This 1069-nucleotide long non-coding RNA is filed under the name Olea europaea subsp. europaea. The record is from RNAcentral. Lineage: Eukaryota; Viridiplantae; Streptophyta; Magnoliopsida; Lamiales; Oleaceae.
CUGUAAUGAUGGAAAAGACGUAUUUUUAUUAAUUCCUGUAUUUUUUAGGUUAUUUUUUAGGUUAUCAAACUUGUUUUCAAUUAUACGUUCGUCUAAUAAAAUAAUUUGUACGUAAACUCAUAAUUUUUUCUUACUCUGAAAAAUUCAUUUUUCACUUCAUAUAAUCUCAUCUAAACAAACACUUAUCUUCAAAACUUUUAAUUUGUGUUGAAUUUAAUUUUGAAUGGAAUCAAAUAAGUCUUUGUUGGAAGUCUACUCUUUCUAUCAUUUCACAUCUGUUAAGAAUUCUGAUAUUAUCGGGUUACGGUGAAAGGAGAGAUUGGUAUGAGUGGCUCGAGAACAACAACAUAAAAGGAUCGAGGAUCGAUAUUCUUUGCCUAGAUUUUUUUGUUUUCGACAAUUAUCUUUUUGAGUAUCGAAUUUCAUUUUUGUUUCUUUGAACCAAUUAUCAGCAAAAUCAAUGCAAAGAUUGACGUGAAAACUAAGAAAUUCAAUAUUCAACUAAGAAUGUGUAAUCCUAAUUAAACACGUAAUGAUGAAAGACUUCUUAUUCAAUAAAUUUUCUAGGUUCGAAAGUCUACUAGUUGACGGAAAAUCUAUACUCAAAUUGUAAAUUACCCUUUUAACCCCACUACUUUCAUGGAUUUUUUUGCUUUGCAUGGGUUUCGUAUCCUUUUUUGUCUUUUAAAAGCAAGUUGAACAUUAUAUGGAAAAUGAAAGUUAGCCAUCGGCAAUCACGAUUUGUACACCAUCCAUCUUAGGGGUGGGCGUUGGAUGGGUCCGUCCGAGUAUUUCAAUAUCUAGAACCACCCAUUAUUUUUCGGGUAUUUCAUAAAUAGAUACAUACGGUUCCACAUAAUUAUUGGACCCAAACCCAAACCCAAACCCGAACCUGAACCUUUAGUUCCGGUUUGGGUUUCGGUUCUACCCAUAGUUUUUAAAUACACAUUUAAGCCCUGUUUGAGCUACAUUAAAUUUAUAAUACACUUUUCUCUCUCUUCUUUUUAACUAUACAUUCUCAAAUAAAAUAAUAUUACACAUAAAUAAAAAAAAAAAAAAUCUUCCUUUU